Aedes aegypti (yellow fever mosquito) is the source of this 754-nucleotide long non-coding RNA. RefSeq lists it as uncharacterized. Lineage: Eukaryota; Metazoa; Arthropoda; Insecta; Diptera; Culicidae. The record is from RefSeq and is a predicted model, not a curated record. The transcript is spliced from 3 exons.
UUUAUAGAAAGGUACAUUGAUCUAAGCAGUCAGUGGAUGCGGGGAAUGAUAAGCAGCGAGGGGGUAGAAAAUGACAGCUGGUGAGUUGGCUGGCUGGCUACUUCCUUUCCCCUCCGCUGAUUGAUCUCGUUUCCAUGGCACCAUUAUUAUUUUAUUAUGUUUUCAAAAACAAAUUGAAAAUAUGUGCUCUGGCAAAGACCGAUUCCGAGUAGAAAGAAUGUCGUGAUUGUGCAUUGAAACGAAAUUCAUACUCGAAAAGGACCUACAUGCACUCUUUCUGUUGCUGCUGAUCUGAUGUGAAAUGGAAAAUGUCAGUUUGUUUGAGACAUCAAUUGGCUACUGUGCUUUACUCGGUUUUAUUUCGAAUUAAGAACGAAACUGUUUCUUGCAACGGUGACAGACAAAAUAGAGUAUGAAAGUCGCUGAAAUAGUGUCUCAUUUUGAUCGUUUUUCGGAGUUACAUUACAUAUAGUUAAUUACAUUACAUAUUAAGGUCUUUAAUUGCAUUACCAUCGAGUCAGCUUUUUGUAAAGAAAAUGUAUGAUCAGCACUGAAUAAUUUAAAGAAGUAAUUCGAAAAAAAGAAUUCUCAAACUGCGGUUGAUUGUCAGGAAACAAAGUGAAGUGGUUUAAGGGGAAACAUGUUGCUAGGAUCUCAAGGCUUGCUGACCUGAUAAAGCAUAACAAACCAGCCAGCUGUCUGAUUGUUUUCCAAUAUGGCGGAAUGCCCUAUUUGACACAUUGAAUUACCUCCC